GCUCUGCUUCAUGGCUUAGAGAAUGUGCUCUGCCUCUUAGCUGCAGACCAAGAGAGGAAAGGGGAGAGAAAGGGAGAGAGGGAAAAGGAAUGAAUAAAGAGAAGAGAGAGGCAGCGACACACUUGCAUCUGUUGUCCUGCGUCCUGCAGCCGUGAAGCAAAUGAGAGAGUGCGAGAGAGACAGAGAGAGUAUGCCAGGAUAAGAAGAGAGAGAGAAAGAGAGAGGAUCUCAGACAGCCGUGUCCUUGAGAACUGCACCACAACUCUUUGAAGAGAGCCGCGAGAAGUAUCCGCGGACUGAGCACACCUUACAGCAGUUACCUAAGUUGAAGAAUAUCAGAUCAUAGCAGUAAAAACAAGUUCCAAGUAGAAGGGAGAAAGAGGAAAUGGAGAAUACACAAUGGAUCCCCCUCC
Long non-coding RNA from Pundamilia nyererei, 413 nucleotides. RefSeq lists it as uncharacterized. The record is from RefSeq and is a predicted model, not a curated record. NCBI's taxonomy places the organism in Eukaryota, Metazoa, Chordata, Actinopteri, Cichliformes, Cichlidae. The transcript is spliced from 3 exons.